RNAcentral lists this long non-coding RNA (8432 nucleotides) under Gossypium barbadense (sea-island cotton). Its description in RNAcentral is "long non-coding RNA (GBAR_LNC002438)". The record is from RNAcentral. Lineage: Eukaryota; Viridiplantae; Streptophyta; Magnoliopsida; Malvales; Malvaceae.
AGCAUCUGUUUUUAAGGUAAACUUCAUCUAUUUCAUGGUUUUCCAUGAAUCAACUAGAAUUUGUCAUACAAAGCACCAAAAUUAUCAUGAUUAACCAUUCCAAUGGCUAAUCGUUACCAACAUUUCCAUAACUCUCAAUGAACAACAUACAAAACGAUUAUAAUGCUAUGCUCAAAGUGUAUAUAAGCCAUUUUCGCAUGGCUAUCCAAAUUUAUACAAAACCAAAGGGUACGUGACCAACAACAAAAAGGGGUAGUCCUAUACAUGCCAUUUUCAGAGUUCAACCAAAAAUGUACCAAAAGGGCUUUGAUAGUGUGGACGACUUCGACUUCGACGAUCCUGAGUCUGAUAGCUGACGAACCAAAAUCUAUAAAACAGAGAUUCAAAGAACGGAGUAAGCAUUUAAUGCUUAGUAAGUUCUGAGCAAUGAAAUCAUGCACAACUGAAGUAUAGCAUUCAUACAACUAAACGAAUAAUUUCAUAUACCCAUAUUCUCACAAUCAUACCUACUUCACAUUUCCAACCUUUAUAUUCAUACGUAAGGAAUCAACUUGUCUAAAAGAUGGAAGCUUGUUAGUCGAUUGAGCAAAUACUAUUUAGAAGGAAUCAAUUAUCUCAAUGCACAUACGAAACAUACCUCAUCGUUGGGAUUUUACGAGCGUAUUAAUUGAAAUUAUUACAGCAAGAUCGCUCAUUCCCAAACCCAAGUAUCUUCGGGAUUUAGCCGGAUAUAACCACUCGCACAAGGCCUUCGUGUCUUAGCCCGGAUAUGGUCACUAGCAUAAAUGCCUUCGGGACUUAGCCCGGAUAUAAUCGCUAGCACAAAUGCCUUUGGGUCUUAGCCCGGAUAUAGCAACUCGCACAAAUGCCUUCGGAUCUUAGUCCGGAUAUAGUCACUAGCAUAAAAGCCUUCGGGACUUAGCCCGGAUAUCAUCGAAUAACCAUGCACAUAUAUCAAUAAUCAUGACACAUCCAUAUUUCAUUUUCAUUACCAAAGCUCAAACACAAGACACUUAUCACACUUACUAAUUUCGGCUCAAUAGCCACAUACAAAGAGCACGAUUUUGAUUUGCUUUAUGACAUGAUCUCUAUGCACAUACGGCUACCCAUCAUACGUAUAGACUAAUUAAUUCAACAUAUAAUUCAAGUAGAAUCGUUAUAUCACCGUAUUUUUGUUAUGACUAUACGUCAUGACUUAAUCGAAUCGUAAACUAAGUUUCAUUACUCGAAAACUUACCUCGGAUGUUGUCGAACGAUUUCGGUGGCUAUUCAAUCACUUUUUCCUUUCCCUUGUCCAACUUUGGUCCUCUAAGCUCUUGAGCUAAUUCAAGCAAAUUUAACUUAUUAAGGUCUCAUUAUGCUAGCUUAUGGCCGAAUAUGACAAGGAGUUGAUAGGUCAUAUGGCCACCUUUAGCUCAAAUACAAAAUGGUCAUACGCAUUUUUAAUCACAUUGAGCAAUUUAAUACAAUUAAUCUAACAUUUCCUCAUGUGCACCUUCAUGACCGAAUACACACAUCAUUAACCUAUUAUCAAUUAACUAAGCACUUUAACAAAUUCUCCUUGAGCCGAUUAUCUAAGUCAAGAUAAAAGCAUCAAUAUGCUUACCCCUAACCGAAUACAUGCAACACCUGCAUGUCUAUGUUGAGGCCAAUUAUAUGCUUAAUACUUCCUACAAAUAUGGUUACUUGUAUUAACUACAUACCAUCUUGUUUCAAGUUCAAAACUCGGCUAAUACACAUAUGUACACUAGUAAUCAAAUACUAAUAUUUGCACUUCACCUUACUACCAUUUCUCAUGCAAAUAACAUGAACAACAACCAUAUUUCCUACUAUGGCCGAAUGCAUCAAGACACCAUACCAUUUCAAUUUUGGUCAUGGGUUAAACAAAGAACCUAAUGUCUAUCUCAAAAAAAACUGCUAAAAAGAAAAUCCAAGAGGCAUCAAUCCACCAUCACAUGUAUCAUUAUAAAGCUUCACAUUUAGCAUGCAAAUGACAUCAACACAAAUCCACCUUAGCUGAAACUUAACUCAUCUUCAUGCAUCAACACCAACAUCAAACACCACCCAAGAAGACAACACCCAUGGCCGAAUAUCAUCUCCAUCACAUAGCAAAGAUUUAAACCAUGGGCUAGGUAGAACUCAAGCUAACAACUAAAACAUGCAUGCAUCUCAUGGAACAUCAUCAAACAUACCUUAAUCUAGAUACAAGUAUGGUCGAACCUCCUCAACCUUUUCUUCCCCUCUUUCCUUUGAUUUUUCGGUCAAGAAGAAACAAAUGAGAACCUUUUCUUUUUUUUUUCAUCAUCCUACUAACCAUUAUUAUUUUAUCAUUUCUAACAUAAACCAUUAACACAACAUGUUUCUGACAUGUUUUACCCAUCACCCUUUGUCAUGGCCGGCCACUAGUAAUUAAAUGGGGGAAAUUGACAUGCAAGUCCACCCCUUUGAUUACAUGCACUAAUAGAUCCUUAUAGAUUAACCUAUCACAUUUCAAAAGUGUCACACAUAAGUCCUAUUAAUUAAAUUCACAUGCAAUUAACUAAAUCAAAGCUUAAAACUUUCACACAUUCAUAUUCACAUAUUUUAGACAAUAAUUAUCAUAUUCAAAUAAUUUGGUGACUCGGUUUAGCGGUCCCGAAACUGCUUUUCGACUAGGGUCACUUUAGGGCUGUCACAACUCUCCCCCACCGGUAAAUAGGUUUGGGUAUCGUUCUUUCAUAAAGUUAUCGGGUUCCCAAGUAGCUUCUUCCAUCCCGUGUUUGAGCCAUGACACUUUUACUAAAGGAACCUUUUUGUUUCGCAACUCUUUUACUUCAUGAGCUAGGAUACGAAUUGGUUCUUCUUCAUAACUCAUAUCGGCUUGAAUUUCAACCUCGGAGGGACUUAUUAUGUGCGAAGGAUCAGAUCUGUAACAUCGAAGCAUCGAAACUUGAAAAACGUUGUGGAUCCUUUCAAGUUCAGGGGGUAAAAUCAAUCUAUACGCAACUGGACCGACUCGUUUGGAUAUUUCAUAUGGCCCGAUGAACCUCGGACUCAAGUUGCCCUUACGCCCAAAUCUGAGUAUCUUUUUCCAAGGUGAAACUUUAAGAAACACUUUAUCUCCCACCUGAUACUCAAUGUCCUUUCGUUUCAAAUCCGCGUACGACUUUUGACGAUCUGUGGCUGCCUUCAGACUUUCACGGAUUACUUUUACUUUCUGCUCAGCAUCUUUAAUCAAAUCAAAUCUGAAAAUUUUUCCUUCACCGAGCGCGGUCCAAAAAAAUGGUGUACGGCAUUUAUGACCGUACAAAGCCUCGUAAGGUGCCAUCUUAAUACUUGAUUGAAAACUAUUGUUGUAAGCGAAUUCAAUCAAAGGUAAAUACCGUUCCCAUGAACCACUAAACUCAAGGAUGCAACAUUUUAACAUAUCCUCGAGUAUCUGAAUUAUCCGCUCGGAUUGACCAUCGGUUUGGGGAUGAAAAGCGGUGCUAAAAUGCAACUUGGUACCCAAAGCUUCUUGCAAUUUCUUCCAAAAUUGCGAGGUGAAUCUUGGAUCUCUAUCUGACACAAUAGAAAUAGGUACCCCGUGUAAUCUCACAAUCUGAGAAACAUACAAUUCAGCUAGUUUAUCCAAUGAAAAAUCCGUGCGUACGGGGAUAAAGUGAGCCGACUUAGUCAGUCUAUCAACAACUACCCAAAUCGCAUCUUUCUUACUUGCCGACACUGGCAACCCAGUUACAAAGUUUAUCGUGACUCGAUCCCAUUUCCAUUCAGGUAUCAUGAUCGGCUGAAGUAAUCCCGUAGGCACUUGAUGUCCCGCCUUCAGUUGCUGACAUACUAAGCACUUCGAAACAAAAUCGAAAAUGUCUCGUUUCAUACAAUGCCACCAAAACUGACGUUUCAGAUCGUUGUACAUUUUCGUACUCCCCGGGUGAAUUGACAUUCGGCUACAAUGAGCUUCGUUCAGAAUCAUCGAAAUAAGUUCUAAAUUUCUUGGAACACACAAACAACUUCUAAACCUCAAACAAUCGUCAUCAUCAAUUUGAAAAUCUGAUUCCAUAUUCGAAACACAUUCAGCCCGGUUUGCAACCAAUUCAUCAUCGACUUUCUGAGCUUCACGAAUUUGAUGAAUCAACAAUGGUUUUGCCUUUAAUUCAGCUACUAACAGAUUGUCGAGUAGAACAGACAAGUGUACAUUCAUCGCUCGUAAAGCAAACAGUGAUUUUCGGCUUAAGGCGUCUGCAACCACAUUAGCCUUUCCCGGGUGAUAAUCAAUGACAAGCUCAUAAUCUUUCAACAACUCAAGCCAACGCCUUUGUCGUAGAUUCAAGUCUCUUUGAGUCAUCAAAUAUUUGAGACUUUUGUGAUCUGAAUAUACAUGGCACUUCUCACCAAAUAAAUAAUAUCGCCAUAUUUUCAAAGCGAAUACGAUGGCAGCUAGUUCGAGAUCAUGGGUCGGAUAAUUUUUCUCAUGUGGCUUUAAUUGUCUUGACGCAUAGGCCACAACUCGACCUUCUUGCAUCAAUACGCAACCCAACCCAAGUAGGGAUGCAUCACUAUAAAUGACAAACUCCUUGCCUGAUUCGGGUUGCACUAGAAUUGGAGCUUCAGUCAAAUAAGUUUUCAGUUGAUCAAAACUUUUCUGACAUUUUUCCGUCCAUUCAAACUUAACAUCUUUCUGAAGUAGCUUCAUCAUUGGUGUGGCUAUCAUCGAGAAACCUUUUACAAACCGUCUGUAGUAACCGGCAAGUCCCAAAAAGCUUCGAACCUCAGUGAUAUUUCUCGGAGCUUCCAGUUAAGUAUGGCUGAAAUUUUACUCGGAUCAACUCGAAUACCCGAUGCAGACACCACAUGACCCAAGAAGCUAACCUCUCUUAACCAGAACUCACACUUACUGAACUUAGCAUAGAAUUGCUUAUUCCGUAAAGUUUGCAACACUAAUCCCAGGUGUUCAGCAUGAUCGGUUUCAUUUCUCGAAUAGACCAAAAUAUCGUCGAUAAACACAACUACAAAUCAAUCCAAAUACGGUCUGAAGAUCUGAUUCAUCAGAUCCAUAAAUACCGCGGGGGCAUUAGUGAGCCCAAACGGCAUCACUAAGAAUUCGUAGUGACCGUAUCUCGUUCUGAAAGCAGUUUUGGGUAUGUCCGAAUCUCGAAUUCGUAACUGAUAAUAACCCGAUCUCAAAUCUAUCUUUGAAAACACUGAGGCUCGCUUUAGUUGAUCAAACAAAUCAUCAAUGCGCGGUAUCAGAUAUUUAUUCUUUAUUGUCACCUUAUUCAGCUGACGAUAGUCGAUGCACAACCUCAUGGUUCCGUCAUUCUUUUUCACAAACAAUACUGGUGCACCCCAAGGUGAGAAACUUGGUCGAGCGAAACCUCUAUCCGUCAACUCUUGCAACUGAGCUUUCAACUCUUUUAACUCGGUUGGUGCCAUACAAUACGGAGCUAUCGAGAUCGGCGUAGUCCCAGGUACAAGCUCAAUACCAAACUCUACCUCCCGAACAGGUGGUAAACCCAGUAAUUCUUCGGGAAAAACAUCCGGGUAUUCACAAACCACCGGCACAGAUUCAAGUUUCCUUUCUGGCUCUUUAUUAUCAAGUACGUAUGCAAGAUACGCUUCACACCCCUUUCUCACAUAUUUUUGGGCUAACAUCGAGGAUAUUAUUGUUGGCAAUCCAUAGAAGGAAGUAGACUCAACUCGGAUUAUCUCAUUAUUUGCGCACCUCAAAUCAAUAGUCUUGCUUUUGCAAUUCACAACCGUAUCAUGCACGGUCAACCAAUCCAAACCGAGAAUAACAUCAAACUCAUCAAACGGAAAAAGCAUCAAGUCCGCCGGAAAACAGGAACCUCGAAUUACUAGGGGACAUUUCUUACACACUUUGUCGACAAGCACGUAACGACCCAAGGGAUUUGACACCCGAAGUACGAACUCAGUAGACUCAAUAGGUAAAGUCUUACUGGAUGCUAAGGUUUCACAUAUAUAAGAAUGAGUAGAACCAGGGUCAAUCAAAGCAAUCACAUUAGUAUCAAAGAGAGUAAAAGUACCGGUAAUAACAUCUAGCGAGGAAGCAUCCUCGCGUGCGCUUAUAGCGUAAGCUCUAGCUGGAGCACGAGCCUCAGAUCUGGUUGUAGCAUCUCUAGAUCCUCUCUGACCACCACUAGCAUUGCCCGUAUUUCUAGAUGGUCUACCCUGAGCAGUAGUAGCACCAGGUUUCCCACUCUGAUUUACGUUCUGUUCAGACAAUCUCGGGCAAUCUUUAAUAAAGUGGUCAGCUGAUCCGCACUUGUAACAUGAGCGGUCAUGAAAUCUACAACUCCCCAAAUGCCAUUUACCACAAUAUUGACACUCCGUUCUGUCUCGACGAUCAUUUCCAACACUGGCGACCGAAAUGACUCGUGCACUCACAGGGGGUCGGCCGCGAUCUCGUCUAGAAAAACCCGAAGUGUCCCUAGACCGGCCUAAGUCAUCUCUAAAUUUCUUCGAUGACUGUUGGAAGGGCUUCCCCGAAGACCUCUUACGAAAAUCCUUUGUUCCCACCUCAGCUUUUCUUUUCUCCAUACUGAGCUCCUCGGCUUUGCAAGCUCGCUCGACAAGUACCACAAAUUCUCGGAUUUCCAAAAUGCCAACAUACAGCUUUAUGUCAUCAUUCAGCCCAUCCUUGAAACGUUUACACAUCACGGCUUCUGAAGAGAUACAUUCUCGAGCGUACCGGCUAAGCCUUACAAACUUUCAUUCAUAGUCGGUAACCGACAUGGAACCUUGUUUAAGUUCAAGAAAUUCCUUCCGUUUUUGAUCCAUGAAUCUCUGACUGAUAUGCUUUUUCCAAAACUCAGUUUGGAAAAACUCCCAAGUUACUUGCUCUCUGGGCACAAAAGAAGUCAACGUAUUCCACCAAUAGUAGGCAGAAUCACGCAGCAAGGAGAUCGUACACUUUAGGCACUCAUCGAGUGUGCAAGAUAGCUCAUCGAGUACCCAAAUAGUGUUGUCCAACCAAAAUUCAGCUUGCUCGGCAUCAUCGUUGUCCGUAGCUUUAAAUUCAGUAGCCCCGUGUUUUCAGAUUCUGUCAACUGGGGGCUUAUUUGACCUUAUUUGGUCAGUUGCCGGAGGUAUUGUAGGUGCGGGGGUGGUAUUAGUCGGGAAUGGAGGUUGUGGAACAGCUGUAUUAGUUCGAAUGUAUUGGUUGAACCAAUCAUUCAUCACGCUAUAAAAAGCUUGUCUAGCCUCAUCAUUCGGAUUACUAGCAAUAGGUUGAGAGUCCGCCGGCGCUGUCCCUUGUGCAGGAGUAGGCGCUACACUCUCAAGAUCAUCAGCUACCGCUCGGUCGGGAUCGGGAUCCAUUACUAUAAAUAAACACAUUUUCAAUUGUCAGAAAUCACCACACUAUCAAAUAAUCACAUAAUGGCAUGUAUAGCUAGACCCAAACAUAUUACGGUAGUCCUAGAAUCGACUAAACCGUAGCUCUGAUACCAAUAAAAUUGUAACACCCCGUACCCGAGACCGUUGCCAGAGUCGAACACGAGCUGCUAACAUACUUAUUUCAUUGUAAAACACAGUUCAUUUAAAAAUUUCCAGACAAGCUGGCUAACUGCGUCACUGUUACCUUAAAAAUCAUAUCUUGAGUUCCAGAACUCGGAAACCAGUUUCGUAAAUUUUACCUGAAACUAGACUCAUAUAUCCAUCUAAAAAUUUUUUUCUAGAAUUUUUGGUCAAGCAAAUUAGUACAGUUUAUUAGUUAAAGUCUCCCCUAUUUCAGGGUUCGACUGCUCUGACCUUCAUGCAUUACGACUUAUAUAUCUUCCUGUACAGGGAUUUAUUACUUAUGCCGUUUGUUUCUAACGAAACUAGACUCAAAAAGAAAUCUAUACAUAUAUGGUAUGAUCUCGAAUUAUCUCUGGUUAAUUUAUAGUGAAUUUCCAAAGUCAGAUCAGGGGAUCCAGAAAUCGCUGUGGCCCUGUUACACGAAAACUUAAAUAUCUCUUAAAGUACAACUCAUAUGAUCAUUUCGUUUCUUCCAUAUGAAAGUAGAUUCAUCAGGGUUCGUUUACAUAAUUUAUUCACUAUUUAAUUCCAUUUCUACUAUUUUUAGAGAUUUUUCAAAUCUGCACCACUGCUGCUGUCAGCAUCUGUUUUUAAGGUAAACUUCAUCUAUUUCAUGGUUUUCCAUGAAUCAACUAGAAUUUGUCAUACAAAGCACCAAAAUGAUCAUGAUUAACCAUUCCAAUGGCUAAUCGUUACCAACAUUUCCAUACCUCUCAAUGAACAACAUACAAAAUGAUUAUAAUGCUAUGCUCAAAGUGUAUAUAAGCCAUUUUCGCAUGGCUAUCCAAAUUUAUACAAAACGAAAGGGUACGUGACCAACAACAAAAAGGGGUAGUCCUAUACAUGCCAUUUUCAGAGUUCCACCAAAAAUGUACCAAAAGGGAUUUGAUAGUGUGGACGACUUCGAAUUCAAC